GUUUGAUCCCUGGCUCCAGGACGAACGCUGGCGGGCGUGCCUAAUACAUGCAAGUCGAGCGGAUGACGGGGAGCUUGCUCCCCUGAUUCAGCGGCGGACGGGGUGAGUAACACGUGGGCAACCUGCCUGUAAGAUCGGGAUAACUCCGGGAAACCGGGGCUAAUACCGGGAUGGUUCCCUUCCUCCGCAUGGAGGAAGGGCGGAAAGACGGUUUCGGGCUGUCACUUACAGAUGGGCCCGCGGCGCAUUAGCUAGUUGGUGGGGUAACGGCCCACCAAGGCAACGAUGCGUAGCCGACCUGAGAGGGGUGAUCGGCCACACUGGGACUGAGACACGGCCCAGACUCCUACGGGAGGCAGCAGUAGGGGAAUUCUUCCGCAAAUGGACGAAAAGUUCUGACGGAGCAACGCCGCGUGAGCGAAAGAAAGGCCUUCGGGUUCGUAAAAGCUCUGUUGUAAAGGGAAAGAACAAGGCAGCCGGUUAACUGCCGGCGCCCUGACGG
This 502-nucleotide ribosomal RNA is filed under the name Bhargavaea beijingensis. RNAcentral describes it as "bacterial SSU rRNA". It matches the Rfam family "Bacterial small subunit ribosomal RNA", at positions 11 to 485 of the family's 1533-position model. The record is from RNAcentral. Lineage: Bacteria; Bacillati; Bacillota; Bacilli; Caryophanales; Caryophanaceae.